AGCAGCGGUUAUACGCUAUUAUAAAUUAAUUUUUUUUGAAUAAAUAAAUUUAACCUACCAAUUCAAAAAAUGAAAUUUCUAAAAUUAGUAAUUAAAAAAUCUAACUGAAAUUUAGUCCGAAACCAGGAUUAGAUACCCUGUUAUCCUAAACCUUUAAAAAUAAUUCAUAAAAACUAAACUAAAUAAAUUUGACGGUAUUAACCUUUACAAAGGAAUUUGUUUCUAAAUCGAAAACACACGAAUUACCUUACUUAACUUAUGUCUGUAUACCACCGUUAAGAAAUUAUUUAAAAUAAAAUUCAAAAUAAUAAUCUUAAAAAAUCAGGUCAAGGUGCAAUUUAAUUAAGAUGAAAUGAACUACAUUAACUAUAACAUAUAAGAUUUGAAAUUAAAUCUUAAAAACAGAAUUUGUGAGUAAAAACAAAUCAUUAUGUCAAUUUGAAAAUCAACAUUAAUAUGUACAU
RNAcentral lists this ribosomal RNA (464 nucleotides) under Peripatidae sp. OHL094. RNAcentral's name for it is "partial small subunit ribosomal RNA". Lineage: Eukaryota; Metazoa; Onychophora; Udeonychophora; Euonychophora; Peripatidae. The record is from RNAcentral.